Molecule: long non-coding RNA, 1914 nt
Organism: Paramormyrops kingsleyae
Lineage: Eukaryota; Metazoa; Chordata; Actinopteri; Osteoglossiformes; Mormyridae
Source: RefSeq, a predicted model, not a curated record
AUGCACGCAUAUGAGGAAUUCAAGCCAAUAAUAAUGAAAAAAAGCAAUACGGCUGCAUCGGCUAAAGAAAGAGUGUCGGCUUGGCAAAAAAUAACGGACAGAGUAAAUGCGUGUGUAUUAAAUUGCAAAUUUGACAUCGCCUCCCCUUUUAUUAUAAUGUAAAAUAAUUAGACACCCCUUCCGCAUCCUUUUGACUUUUAAAUCACUAUGAAAGCAUUUACUUUUCCUGCCAUUUAUUUCUUUAAGUUAAAAUAACAAUGUGUAUUGACUAGGAAUAUAUGGUUUCUUAUUUAAUAAGGUGUAAUCCUUCUGGAGCCAGAAGAACUUUGAGCCAAGACAAAAUGAAACACAAAAACAUUCUGCAAUAAGGUAAUAUUUGAUUACACAAUCACUGAACUAUUGAUUAAACACAAUUUAGUAUAUUCUUUUGUAGCUAAUAGAAAGAAGGCUGAAGCCCAUCUAACUGGCGGGGGCCCACCACCACCUCCCCUCACCCCAUCUGAGGAGCUGGCUCUGUCCCUUAAUAAAGGGCGACCAGGGGUUGCUGGCAUUCCAGGGGGCACUUCAUCACACACACCAUGCACCACAAGUAACAUGGUGAAUUAUACUGAUAGAGGGAUUGUAUUAUUGGACCCUACAGAAAGAACACAGUCUGUCACAGUUGAUGAAGAUGACGAUGAAGAGACCACAUCUGCUGUGACAGAAGUGGACAAUGCUGGUAGAUCCACUGAGUACAAACCUGGGGAUUUGCCCACAGAUGAAGGUCCUUCAACCUCAAUGUGCGAUCUAAGCAGUGUAAGAAUUUGUGUGCAGUUGUCCAUAUUUUAAUUUUAUUGUCUGACAGAAUCUCAUUUAUUUAAUUAUUUUUGCCUUUCAAAAACAAAUAAGAAAAAGUGAGAUGGAGAUGGACCUUAUACAGCUUCAAAUGGAAGAGAAAAGGCGAUCCAUUAAAAAAAGCAACACUAGAAAUUCAAUUACUGGAGCAUUGCCUUAAGGAAAUAAAGAAAUGAAUUGCACAGCAGACCAGUGCAAACAAUUUAAUAAAAGUAAUUUUCACAAAUCCUGUCUCUCAAAAGUCUUCCAUCUCUGUGUGCAAAAAUCUGUAGGGGUUCCUCUGGGCCAUCUUCUUCAAUACCAGGAGGGUGGCUCUCUCCUCUUAUAGUGGCAAUGUUGUGAAGCACAACACAAGCCACUAUGAUGUCGCAUGCUCUCUCUGGACUGACCCGGAGCCCACGCAGACACUGAAACCUAGACUUGAGGAUCCCUAUGGUCAUCUCCACCUUGGCCCGUGUUCGGCUGUGAGCCAGGUUAAACCGUGUCUGUGGUCCAGGAUUCCCUACCAACGUAUUUAAUUCACAUAUGUGUAUUUAAUUCAGUUAUGCAUUACCUUUACUUGAGCGUGCAAAGCUGGAUGGUGAUCCCGCAGGUGCUGCAUCAAAUUAGAUGUGUUGGAUCUUCUAGCAGCAACCUUUUUACGGCACGUUUUGCAAGAUGGUGAUCCGUCAUCUUCAAUGACGCCCUGGUCAUUCUUUUUGUAUCCAAAAUGAUCCCAAACUGCCGACUUCAGGCGCUUCUUUGGAGGAAAAUAAGUUUCGCUGCUAGAUGCCUCAGCCAUAGUUAAUCAAGUGCGCGUGCGUCUUAGCCUUGGUCUCCUCUGAGCUCGGAACUUGAAACUAGCGCACAGUUGUAUCGUUCCCGAUGAGGAUGGAGCGCCGUGUGGAUUCCAGAUUGCUGGAAAAAACACCAAUUUGAAAAGGCACCUGAAGACACAGCAUCCUGCAGUCUCUGACAAGAUGCUGUGACAAAAAGCAGCUGGGUCACAGCCUCAGAGGCGGAAUCUUCAGUUAAAACAUGGCUGCGGAAUGCUAGAGAUCGGGAUGGGGGAAGGAGCAGAAGGACACUGAGGGGAUUUAU